This 6056-nucleotide long non-coding RNA is filed under the name Homo sapiens (human). RNAcentral describes it as "HSALNT0034234". The record is from RNAcentral. Lineage: Eukaryota; Metazoa; Chordata; Mammalia; Primates; Hominidae.
GCAAGGACAGACAUACAAGUUCAAGAAAUUUGUAAGCAGGAAGAAAAAAGAACCGUGGAUUAAGUGAGGGGAGGAGGCUUUUAUUUUCUUGUUUUGUCUUGUGGUUUUUAGGGAGUGGAUGCAAACACAGAUGGGAAGGUAAGCUUCAACAGGACACUGCCAGGAAGAAGCAUGAAGAAAGAGAUAAACCCAGAGGCGGAAUGAACCCUUUGGCAGUGGAGAUAUCUGACCAUGGAGAUGCUUCUGAAUGUCACCCACCAAGAAGCUGUGAGCUGGAUGCUCCACAGAUAUGAUAUACAGAGCCUUCCCUGCUGGCCUUUUUCCUUCCAUCUGGAGAUCAGCCCGGGUCCAUAGGUAAAUCACAUCUUCCUACCUAAUAAUGACCAACUGCUAAAACCCAGAGCCUAACAUGAAGACAGCCAGCAAAGAAGAAAUGUGGUUUGCAGCGUUCCAGCCCCAGCAUCACAGAGCAGAGUGUAAAAAGGUAUUCCUGAUGACGGUGAACUGUAAGGAGGGGAGCCUGCUUGGCUUGUGAACUUUUACUUAAUACCGCUCUUCAAAUACAGUGCUUCUGCUCUGCCCUCUGCCAUACUGAGUCCCCAAUUCCCUGGCCUCUUCAGUCAGCCUCUGCAGAGAAGACAUUCGCCCCAGUGCCCUGGCAGAGCAGACAAUCACCUGGCUGCGUAGAGUGAGGAAGGAGCUGUAGAAGCCUAAGCGUCUCAUGCCAUUCUCGUUUGGAGUCACAUCCUGAACCGCUUCCCAGUUCUACCACCUAUGGCCCUGAAGUAUCACGUAGGGAACUCAACUUCUCCCUCUGAGCUUGGAAGACCUUUGAAACACAUAGGAUGUCCAGGGCCCUCUUGGCCCUGGGAUUCUAUGAUCCAUGAACCUUCAGAAGCUAGAGAGCUCUGCCUAGGUAGUAACAUAGACAGGAAGAUACAGGAGGUGAAGAAGGGCAAGGUGACAGUGGGAUAGAGUGGCAGGAGACUUCAAAGAAAAGGUGGGAUGAGAGCAGGACAAGAGCCAGUUGGAGGAAUAGGAGAGGGAACGCCUCCUCAGGUGUCCAAUACUGGGGCAGGAUCGUCACAGCAUGCUGGGGGCUGGUAGGCAAAGGGUUCUAGAAUAAUAAAGUGGAAGAGUAAACUUCAAUUAGAAUGUGGAGAACUUGAAUUUCUUUUUUACAUUAGCAAACCCCACAAUCAAAGUCGUCUAGAGAUUUGUUUUCAGUGCCAGAGACCCUACCCCAGACUUUAAAUCAGAAUAUCAGAGAAGAGCCCAGGAACCUAUAUGCCUUUAAACUUUCCACGUGAGUCCAAUAAACUGGCAAGUUUUGGAACCACUUCCUUAGGCAAUGGAGAACCAUGGAUGGUUUGUAAUCAGGAUGCAUGAUAGAAGUGGAAAUUCUAGAAAGAUGAAUUUGACAGGCAUACGCAAGGUGGACUGGAGGUUGAAGGACAUGUGACAGGGAUUCAAGGGAGGAAAUUUCAAUACUUCACAAAGAUGGUCAUGAGAGUCUAUAGGAGGUAAGUGGUCAGGGAAAAGAAAGAAGAGACUAUACCAAUCCUUCUUUCAUGGAUUGAAUUAUGUAUCCCCCAAAAAUUCAUAGGUUGAAUUCCUAACCCUUAGUACCUCGGAAUGUAACCUUAUUGGGAAAUAGAGUCACUGCAGAUGUAAUUAGUUAGGUUAGAUGCGGUCAUAGGGUGGACUCUAAUCUAAUAGAAGGGGGAACUUUGGACACACCAGCAUGGACAGCCAUAGAGGGAAGACGAUGAAAAGCAAAGUAGGGAGAAAUGGUUAUCUAUCUACAAGCCAAGGAGAGACGCCUGGAACAGAUCCUUCCCUCAAAGCUAACAGGAGGAACCAGUCCUGUUGACACCUUGAUCUCUGUCUUCUGGCCUCCAAAACUGUAAGUCAGUAAACUGCUAAUCACCAGGUCUGUGGUACUUUGUUAUGGCAGCCAUAGGAAACUAAUACACUGUCUUUUUGGAAACACAUUCCUGCCUUCAACUACCUCUUCCUCACUUUCUCUUGAGGAAUGAUUUCUCAAAGCCACCCACCUGAGAGGGCUGGAAGCAGUGGUUACAGAAUGAAGCAUGUGUUUCUAACAUUAUAGGAUGCCUUUUUACUGGAGGAGUGAGUGUGGGGUAGCUUUUUGGAGUCCUUGGCCAGUUUGCUCCCAGAACCUACCUGAGAUAUCAAAGAACUGACUUGUGAUUGGACCUUGCUGAAUAGAAAAGAUGUUAUCUCUAGGAGAAGCAAUUCACAUUCUCCCCACCUGAGAAAGGAAUUGGUGCCAAGAAUAUCAGACAGUGGGUAAACCCCCAGAGGAGAAGGGAGACUCAUUUCUUUGGAGCCACUACCGUCCCACUGGUGGCUCAUCCAGAUGUUAGAGCUGCAAGAGGAGGAACAAUCUACAAAAAAAGGCACAGCAUGUACCACUUCACCAACUACUCAGUCAAUAUGCAUCUCACCCCUGCCCCCAGCUGUGAAGAUAGAGGCUACAAACAACGAGAGAAUGACACUGGGGUAUCUCACAGCAUCAAAUGAAUAACUGAAGAAUUAAGCCUCAAGAAAGCAGGAACCAGGAAUUCUCCAGAGACCUCAAGCACAAGAACCAGGAACUGAAACACCAUUAGAACUGUCUCUUCACCUUCCUUCUGUCCUUUGUUCUGCAUGUUACCUUCACUUUCUUUUACUAAAGAAAGUUAAGAACAUGGUCUCUGGAACCAGUGCCUGAGAUUUGAAUCCUAGCUCUGCUCUUCCAACUGAAUGACCUUGAGCAAGUUACUUACCCUCUCUGUGCCUCAGUUUUUUUAUGGAGAUAACACUAGUGCCUACUUUGUAUGAUUGCUUGAGGAAUAAAUGAUUUUUCUAAAGCACUUGGAAGAAUCCCUCCCACACCCCCAGGCUCUGCCUUAUCUAAGAGAAGAGUUUGGACAACAAGAGUAUUAAUCAGCAAUCUAGCCUGCGAGGCUGAAGAUAAUAAACUGAGGUCCCAUUCAGGCCAAUGGUUGGAUCCAAUGCCAUGGAUGGGGUAGGGGGCAGCAGGAGCCAUGGUGCUACUCAGGGUCAGGCAGGAGACAUAUCAUUUAGUGAGGAGCAGGGGAACCUAUUCCCACAUGUGGCAUUUAUUCUCAGACCCUUACUCUACCAUUGCUCCCUUUACUGGCAACAGAUGACCUCAUCUACUACGUCAAGGCAAAACUAGACAUCUUGCCCUCUACCCUACCCCUACAUUCUUUCAGAGAUGUCUGCUCUGAAGCCCAUCCACAUUGCCUUUCCUCCCCCUCUGUGAAUUAUCUGUCCUUUCUGCAGAUUAUUUAAGAAUAAUUCCCUCCACUGUCCUUUCAUGCCCCCAACGCUCUUCCUCAAGACCAUGUCAGCCGUGGUGUUCUUCCCAUUCUCCGCAUAUCUUCCACCCACUCUCCUCAUAUCUUCCACCUCAUCCUCCUCCUGGCUCUUUCCAUUAGCAUUGAAACAAGCUCGGGUCUCUCCCACCCUAAUCACAAAUGGCACUCCUUUGACUCCCCUUCCCAGCUAGCAGCUCAAAAAGUUGUCUUCACUCCCUGCCUCCACUUCUGCCCUCCCAUUCUCUCCUCAGCCCUAUGUUCUCUAGUUCUCAUUCUCACUUCUUCUGAGAAGCUGACAAAUGCCUGGGCCUCUGCUAUAUUAGACAUCACUGCUAUCCCUAUUUUGAACACCCUCCUCCCUGAGUUUCUAUGGUAACACUCUCUUGGUCAUUCCCCUGCCUCUCCAACCGCUCCUUCUCCAUGUCUCUUGUAUGCUCCUCCAUCUUCCUCCACCUACCCUUGAACAAUCUAUCUUCCCCCAGGUUCCAUCCUCUCUUAAUCUUACAGUUUCCAUAGGUGACCUCAACUACCUUCAACCACCCCCAACAUGAGCUAAUGAUUCUCAAAUCUAUAUCCAUUAUCUUAGUCCUCCCUCUGAAUGUCAGAUUAUUUAUCCAACAGCCUAUGUGGCAUCUUCACUUGGAGGUCCCCCUGAGGCAUUGCAAACUCAGCAUGUGGGUGUAGGGGAUAGUUCCUGAAGCCAUGUCAUGUGGAGAAUGGCUGAAAACCUAGGAGGUAUCUGAUCCACAGAGGUGACUCAGAUGGAUUAUGGUAGUAAAGUGGGCCAUAGUCUGGGUCAGCUGGGAAAGGUGCUGGAGAUAUUCUGUGUGUACCCCAAGGGGUGACAUGAGGACUAAUGAUUGGAAAAUUGGAAAAGACAGAUUUCAGCUGAACCUAAAGAAGACCCUUUGGAAGUCAGAGUAGCUCAAAGGUAAACUUGGGUACCUUGUAAGUUACCUCAGUUAUUGACAGCAUUCAAGCACCAGGCUUUAAACUCCCUCAAUAAGACAGGGCACAGUGGUUCACACCUGUAGUCCCAACACUUUGGGGAGGCCAAGGCGAGAGGAUCACAUGAGGCCAGGAGUUUGGGACUAGGCUGGGCAACAUGGUGAGACACCGUCUCUACAAAAAGAAAAAAAAGAAAAAAAAAAUUCCCUCAAACUUCAGGAGUCUGUGAUUCUGUAAGAAAGCAAAAUGGAGCUUAUGCAGAUUUGACCAAAUACCAUGAAACCUGGUACUACUGCUGCUUAUUAAUUGGGCAUUGGUUUGCUGUUGGGGGCCCUGACCCUCUGAAGUGGAAAUAACAACAGGGAUGUUUUAGGAUACCUGAGAGAAGAGAAGAAAUUGAAUACGUUCUCAAGUGGGAAGGACUGAUAGUCAAAGGAAAACUCACCAUGGCAUGACUUUCUUGGAGGUAUUUGUACUUAGUUAUAUUUGUAAGGAACCUCUCAGUGGAUAUGGAUUUGGCAUGACUCGUAUUGCAGUAGGGCCUUUGUGCUAAGGUUCUGUUUCAACAAACCUAACGAGAUAUCCUUUGAGGCAGGGCCCCCUGAAUCUGGGUGGAGUAAAAUGGCCUGACAACCAGGCUGGGAAGGACUUUUGUGACUGAGUUUACAGAUACCUCUGCCUUCUAAGCAGAGGACAGAAGACAAGAAUUGCUGUCUGGAAAAGGAUAGCUCCCACUUACAGCCAGCUCCAUGAACAUCUAUAAGACAAUGUACCCCAACUCUAUGACAGCUCCAUCCCAUCCCAUCCCAUAAUAUGUAUCAUACUUAUAUUUUCUUGCUUAUGUGGCUCCUACAACCUCUGCUUCCUUUCUCCCCAUUUAAAACCUUCUUAUGAACAGAUUUCUCUGACUUGCAUCUAGCUUUUUCAUACCUGGAUUUUCCAGCUUUGUCUAGUCCCUUUGAAUUCAUGAUUUAACUGGAUUAUUUCCCAUAGCAUCACUCUUAGACCUAGGACCUAUGUUUUAGAGGGUUCUUCUUUGGGGAAAUCUAUGGUCCCUAAGGGAUGUGCCCAUCUGGAGUCCAAACUUCCUUCUGGGCCAUCUUGCAGGUACCUGGGACCCUGGAAUUUCCUAUCCAAACAGUCCUGAUCCUGAUUCCAGGGCCUGGACAAGCAUCUUCUCUGGGUCUGGAGAGGGGACCUUGCUGCCUGUGAGUGAACUCCCAGGCCUGAGGGGUGGCUGAGGCCAGUGCACAGGGCUUUUUGAGAUGCAAGAUGGAGCCAGGGCCAGGAAGAGAAGGGGGAAGACUGGGGGCUGGGAUCCUCUGUUUGUACUGCUGCCCUGGCCCUGCUAAUCCUAGAGGUUCCAGGUACGAAGAUGAAUGAGGUCCAGCCCCUGGCCCAAAGGAACAUCAAGAACACAAGUAAACUAGGGAUCAAAGUUGAACUAAAGAUUGUUUCUUUCUUCUAUCUAAAGCCUGGAGCCUGGAGAGGCCUUCAAUGUGCUGCUCUCUACUCCCUCUGAAUGAUCUGCACCUCCCCAGCAGGAGGCAACCCCACCUCAAAGUGUUGCCCUCUCAAAAUGCUCUCCAGUUCAUCAAGACCCCAAUCUUACAACUGGGGCUCAUCUCAGAAGAGAAGAGGGUAGUAAGAGGGUGCUAUCUCUUCCCUCUGUGCCUCAGCUUCUUCAUCUGUCAAGCGGAAGUCAUAUCUGCCCCCUCACUUCUCCAGGAUUACUUUGAGGAUAAAAUUAGAAUUGAU